This 1062-nucleotide long non-coding RNA is filed under the name Calidris pugnax (ruff). RNAcentral's name for it is "lncRNA (ENSCPUG00000005565.1)". The record is from RNAcentral. Lineage: Eukaryota; Metazoa; Chordata; Aves; Charadriiformes; Scolopacidae.
UUUUGUUUUUUUUUUCCUUUCUUGUACAGAUAGCAGUAUUCUCAGCUCAUGAACCUUCCGCAUUCUUUUUCAGGACUUCAGAAGUGAAAUACUGACUCAACACACUUCAUACAAACAUUGUGAUAUUGUGUAUGCCAAGCUCUCUGCAAAUAGAUUGCAAACAUAGGAUAUCAGGGAACUUACUCCACAGAGGUUUCCUUGAAGCUGGAAUUAUUUGCUAAGCCUGAAGGAGAAACUAAAACUUUACAUUUCUUAACUUAUCAACAAAAAAAGCUGUUUGUUUUACAUAUUUUAGAUCAUGAGUAUCUUGAAAUCUGAAGCCUUCUAAAAAUGUAGAUGGUGGACUAAAACAAUGUAGAAAACGUGACCAUUUUUGCAGGCUCUUCUCUCUCUGUGAUGUUUACACAGCAUGUUUGAGUACGCACAGUUGUAGCUGUUUAAAGAGGAGCCAGGUAGUCAUGAUGGUUGCAGAAAUAAAGCGUCCAGAGCGUGGUAGGUCACAAUGAGGCUAGCCAUGCCUUGUUACUGCCUUGGGGAUGAGCAGCGUUGGGGCAUUUUUUUUCCCAUAGACACCCCAGAAGGAAUUCUCACUUGGUAACUGAAAGGACUCCUUGUUUCCUCUCAGUCUCUCGCUGUUACAGUGCAAGAGCUGAGCACAAACCUUAUAGAUAGUGAGUAAUCAUCUAAAAAGACAUCGCGUUGAUUUUCCCAGUGAAACGUAGCAGCUACAGAAAAUCCAUUUACAGCUUGUCAAGGAUGGGUGAAAGAAAGAAAGGAAAAUCACAGAGGAGCUAAUUCUUCAUCUUUUUUCCUUUUUAGUCAUUAGAGCCCAUUAAGCCCAACUACAAGUCCCCUGUUAAGGACAGAAGACCGCUGCAGAUAUAAUGGCAAAUUCAAACGUGGGGAGACCCCUCGCAGUACUCUGUACACUGCCACCUGCCUACCACCAGCUUACUGUUGACAAUACUUCAUUGCCCAGUUGAAACCAAGUGGAAAACACCACCAAGAAAAACUCCUCGCUGCUCAGUUCGAUUUGUCCUCUAACAGCUUAUCUUGGGGAAG